CAGUCGCCGCGGGAAUACGAAGGGGGCUAGCGUUGCUCGGAAUUACUGGGCGUAAAGGGAGCGUAGGCGGAUCGUUUAGUCAGGGGUGAAAUCCCGGGGCUCAACCUCGGAACUGCCUUUGAUACUGGCGAUCUUGAGUACGGGAGAGGUGUGUGGAACUCCGAGUGUAGAGGUGAAAUUCGUAGAUAUUCGGAAGAACACCAGUGGCGAAGGCGACACACUGGCCCAUUACUGACGCUGAGGCUCGAAAGCGUGGGGAGCAAACAGGAUUAGAUACCCGCGUAGUCCCUGUCUCUUAUAC
RNAcentral lists this ribosomal RNA (301 nucleotides) under uncultured bacterium. RNAcentral's name for it is "partial 16S ribosomal RNA". It matches the Rfam family "Bacterial small subunit ribosomal RNA", at positions 509 to 807 of the family's 1533-position model. The record is from RNAcentral.